Molecule: long non-coding RNA, 4461 nt
Organism: Perca flavescens (yellow perch)
Lineage: Eukaryota; Metazoa; Chordata; Actinopteri; Perciformes; Percidae
Exons: 2
Source: RefSeq, a predicted model, not a curated record
AAAGAGAGAGAGGAGAGGGGGCUGUGCUCUCCCUGGCAUCUCCAUCUCAUAACUCUUCUGCCGCUCAGUGUGUUCAUACACACACAUAGACACACACAUAUUCAUACAGCCUGAAGACAACCCUGAGGACUACAGCACCAUGUUCAGUAUAAUACACUUUAGACCGAGCAGCGAGUGUGAAAACGCCUUCAGGGAGGAAAUAAUGCUUUGUGUGGUAGGUGACGGAUCUUUUGUAACAGAUUUGGCCCAUGAACAUAGUAGGAAGGAAGAUAAAGAGGAGGUGUGAUGAACCCCUUCAGCUCCUGUUCGAAUGAAGCCAUCUGGGAACAAACAUGAGUCAUAGCAUUAUUAUUAGACCUGUUAGACUUGAUACCUUUAUGUUGCAAAUUUAAUGUCAACAGUAUUUCAAUAGUUCAGACCUGAUUAUUCAAUCAUAAAGCAUGUUUUUAUCCAUUUCUCGCUUUCUGCUGCUGUUUCUUUGCAAUGCCUGUUUUUUUCUGUCACGUUUCUAUUUUUUUUUUUUUUCAUAUUAAGGCAGUAAUGUAUAUAUGCCAUCAAUGUCUUAACACCUUUUACGUCCUUUUGUAUUUAACCUUAUAUGCUAACCUGACUGAUUGGACGAUUUGUCCUUGUAAGAUGAUGAUAUAUGUCCCGACAUGAGAGGGGAAGCACUUAGGUGUCCACCCUGCUUCUGCAUCAAUUCAUACUCAGUUUGCCCUUUUCUCCAGCACCUUCUACUCUCAAAGGAAUAGCUUGAGUGUUUGGGAAACCUGCUUGUUUGCCUUUUUUUCCAAGAGUUAACGGGGAAGAUCAAUACCCCUUUUAUUUCUGUCUAUUAAACAUGAAGCUACAGCCAAAAGCUGCUUACCUUAGCAUAAAGACUAGAUACAGGGACAGCUAGCUUGUUUUCCAGCACCUCUAAAGCUAAUUAACUUAUAUACCCCUCUGUUCAAACCCGGAAGUGUAAAAAUGACAUGGCCCUUAAUGUAUGUAAUGAAAUGCAUACAAAAAUACAUUUGAAGUGAUAUUUUACCAAGACAUCCGUAUUAAUACAUCAAAGACACAUGCGAUGAUGAUGUCAUACAACUACUGAAUUAGAAUACUGGCACCUUUUUUGGUCCAAUUCAAACACUGGAACACAUCCCCCCAAACCACAAUCUCGAUUUUACACUUUGAUUUCUGUUCGAAUUAAACUACAUGUUCAUCAGUGAGCUUUGGUGCAGUGAAGUUGCUACCUCAGACAGAGACAGGUUAGCUGUUUCCAGUCUUAAUGCUAAACUAAGCUAACAGCUGCUGGCUGGCUAUGUCAUAUUUAACAUACAAACAUGAGAGUGGUAUCAAUCUCCUCAUAUUAUUCAAAGCAUGGUAUUUUUCCAAAAUGUCAAAGUACUCCUUUAAAAACACCCUUAUUAACGUUAAAAUAUCAUCUCAGAAGUAGUGUUAGUCACUUUAGGUGGAGUAACAGGGGUUUCCUCCAAGCUUGUAUCUACAAAAACAUCCCUUUGAACUUUAUGAGGUCAACUUGUUCACUGUGUUAGCUCUGUUUUUUUUUAUUUGGCUCUGGUUUUCAAUGUAACCACACCCUCUGCUGUUCGUUUGUAGAAUCAAUGGGCCAUCGUGCAGCGAGAGGCAGCCUCCCUCUACAAACAACAGCUAUAUUUGACUGCAUCCAACUAGCAGCACGAGGCUUACCAGUCCAUACACUAUAACACAAUAUCAAAGGAUGUCUUUUUCUGUAUCCAACUUGUCUUGUAUUGAAUGUUUAAGCACAAUGUACUGUCUAUAAAAUCAGAAGACUGCACUCAGAAACUGAUUUCAUUUGGUGACGUAGAUGUUUGUACCCAGUCUCUAGCACCAUAUGAAAACAGUGUUCUGGGUGAUGGUAUAUCAGCAUGUAAGCACAACUUCUGUGUUUUAUGGAACAAUUAAAAUGUACACAGAAAUAAUACCCUAUUUCUUAAGGACUGUUAUGACCAAUGUGUUGUGUUCAUUUGUGAACUUCUAAAUGAGAGGGGGGGGACCUAUCUACCUAUGAAGAGUUUAUCCAUCACAGAGGAUUGGACAUUUCUCGAACUCAACAUUCCAGAGUACUUAAAAGUAUAUCCACUAAUUUGCUGACUCUCAUUAAAGAGUAAUUGUCAUAUGAACCUUUUGUUUGGAUGAUUCAAAUUGGGGCUGGGUGGAAAGGCUCUCAAGGAACGUUCUUGUAACAAUGCUCAUAUCAGAAGUGUUAUUACUUCUAUUGAGAGUUAGGGUCCAAUUUCCUUUUAUCAUUGAAAAGUAAUGUUUCCUGACAUUACCAGGAAUGUUUGGACUGAAUUCAGUAGAUUGUUUUGUCCCCAAUAAGGUUAAAGAAACUCAAUAUUAAAAUUUUACACAGAUAUUGUCCAUGCAAUGAAUUAUUCAUAAAUUUAGACAUGAUGUUUCCCCUGUAUGUUACUUCUGCAAAGAGGAGAUUGAGUCCUUGUCUCAUUUAUUUUAUGCUUGUAAUCAUUCAUGUAACUUUUGUACACAAAUUUCUUUGUUAAUUUGGGAGACUCAUAAGGUCUUGGUUCGUAUUACAGAAUGUAUGGUCUUAUUUUUGAAUGUACAGUCCAACAACAGGGAAGUUAUUAACGUGAUAAAAUUGCUGUGCCUUUUGUACCCCAGAGGGAUUUGUUAUGUUUAAGGGUAUUGAUGAAGUCAAUAAUCUCAUGGUAAGUCAACGGAGCAUCACAAGACUCUUGGUCUACAGUAUUAAUGGGAUUAACCCUGAUUGAGUUUAAGAAAGACGUUGCACUCUUUUCUCAGUAUCAAGAGUUUAUUUUUCACUCAUUGAAAGACUCUCAGGCGGCUUUUGGGAAAGAGAGGUUAUGAUAGAUAUUACAUAAAUUUCAUCUCUCCUCCUUGGCUUGAUCUGAACUGAAAUUUCAAAUUUCAUAAGUUCCCAUUCGACCUAAUAUUUGUUCUCAGUUUUAGCUUCAAUUACAGUAUUGCUGAAUUAAUUUCUUUAAAUGUAAAUGGACUGUUUUUAUAAAAUGCUUUUCUAGUCUUUACAACCACUCAAAGCGCUUUAACAUAGUACAGGAACUAUUCACCAUUCAUUCAUGUUGUAAAACUCAACUAUUUAACUUCCAGUAUGAAGUAUGGACACGACAAGAGGAGGGGAACAGAGAGAUAUGACUAUGAAUAGCUUUGUGAUCUGUAAAGGAGUAGCCAAAUUUGUGCUGUUGCAUUCUCUGUAAGGUUUUUGGAAACUAACCAAUAAUCAAUUCUGGAUUGGAAGGAUCUGGUAUUAUUAGACCAAGUGUAUACUCUAUCUGAUGACCCUGGUGAUGUACAUGUCCUGUAGUGAUGGGAAGGCUGCUCCACAGAUGAGUUGUGCAGUUUUUAUAACACAUUGGACAGUCUUCCGUUCCCGAGCACUGCCGUCUCCAUACCACACUGUGAUGGAGCUGCUGAUGACACUGUCCACUGUACAUCUGUAGAAGUUUCUGAGGAUUUUGGUUGACAUGCCAAAUUUCCUCAGCCUCCUUAGGAAGUACAGUCUCUGCUGAGCUUUCUAAAGGAGCUGGUGGCAGUUUUGAGAUCCUCGCUGAUGUUUGUUCCGAGGAAUUUAAAGGUUUUCACUCGCUCCACCUCUGUCCCCACCAAUGUAUAGUGGUGUGUGCUGCACCUUCCUCCAUUUCCUUGUAUCGCUCAUCAUCUCCUUGGUCUUGUCAAGCAAGUCUUCGUUUUCCGUAGUAUAUCCAUAUUAGUGAUAAUUAAAACAACCUUAUUGAAUUUAAUUACUUGACAUAUAUAGUGAUCUUUUACAUCAAUAUGUGAAUAUUACCUGUAAAGUUGUUUUUCAAUGUUCCCACAUCUGCUGAAUGUACCGACCCAUGUGACCGCCACAAAUUAACCUCAUCAGCUGUAGAAUUAAGAAAAACACAAAAUCUAUUAUAUAUAAUGCUUUGCAAACAAGAAUAAGGCUUUGCGCUUCCUAUUUUUCCUUAACCCCCAGCAUUAAGAGAGACAAAAGAUAAAGACAGAUUGAACUAUGAAUAGCUAGAUAAUAAGUCACAAGUAACUUACCACAAACUAUUGCAAAGACACAGAGAACUGCACCAUUUAUAGUUAUAAAUAUGUGAAUAUUAAAGCAAAAGCGAUGUAACGUUAGCCCUUAAGCCUCUUUAGUAGGCUAUAAAUAUUUAUAACAUUAGACCAAAUCUUAAAAAAUAAGGUCCCCCCCCCCCCCAUGUAUCAUCAACUAGUUUGCAACAUUUUAACUAUUGCAGCAGUCACUAUAAAAAGUUUGUAUUGCUCUUUUGAAGUAUUGACCAAAACCAAAAAAAUCUAACACAUCAAAUGAAAGACUAUAUGCUUUACAGUAUCAAAGGCUUUAUAUGUCUAUGAAUGAAUGAAUCAAACUGAUGAUAGAUAUUGUGAGAUAUUGUUUAUGAUGAAUAUUCCCAUUAAAAUUGUACCUAAAGAUUCCUA